AUGGAUUGGUGCCUUCCGGAACUCUGACACAGGUGCUGCAUGGUUGUCGUCAGCUCGUGCCGUGAGGUGUAGCGUUAAGUCCCGUAACGAGCGCAACCCUUGUCCUUAGUUACCAGCACGUUAUGGUGGGCACUCUACGGAGACUGCCGGUGACAAACCGGAGUGAAGGAUGGGGAUGAGUCCUCAUCAUCAUGGCCCUUACGGCCUGGGCUACACACGUGCUACAAUGGACCGGUACAAAGGGUUGCCAAGCCGCGAGGCUGGAGCUAA
RNAcentral lists this ribosomal RNA (270 nucleotides) under uncultured Pseudomonas sp. RNAcentral describes it as "partial 16S ribosomal RNA". It matches the Rfam family "Bacterial small subunit ribosomal RNA", at positions 1006 to 1271 of the family's 1533-position model. Lineage: Bacteria; Pseudomonadati; Pseudomonadota; Gammaproteobacteria; Pseudomonadales; Pseudomonadaceae. The record is from RNAcentral.